UUCACCAAGCUUCCUGU
RNAcentral lists this unclassified non-coding RNA (17 nucleotides) under Mus musculus (house mouse). RNAcentral's name for it is "oocyte_clustered_small_RNA718". The record is from RNAcentral. Lineage: Eukaryota; Metazoa; Chordata; Mammalia; Rodentia; Muridae.